This 2591-nucleotide ribosomal RNA is filed under the name Escherichia coli. Its description in RNAcentral is "bacterial LSU rRNA". It matches the Rfam family "Bacterial large subunit ribosomal RNA", at positions 348 to 2925 of the family's 2925-position model. The record is from RNAcentral. Lineage: Bacteria; Pseudomonadati; Pseudomonadota; Gammaproteobacteria; Enterobacterales; Enterobacteriaceae.
AGUUCUCCCUGACUCCUUGAGAGUCCUGAAGGAACGUUGAAGACGACGACGUUGAUAGGCCGGNGGACACGUGGUAUCCUGUCUGAAUAUGGGGGGACCAUCCUCCAAGGCUAAAUACUCCUGACUGACCGAUAGUGAACCAGUACCGUGAGGGAAAGGCGAAAAGAACCCCGGCGAGGGGAGUGAAAAAGAACCUGAAACCGUGUACGUACAAGCAGUGGGAGCACAGAGCAAUCUGUGUGACUGCGUACCUUUUGUAUAAUGGGUCAGCGACUUAUAUUCUGUAGCAAGGUUAACCGAAUAGGGGAGCCGAAGGGAAACCGAGUCUUAACUGGGCGUUAAGUUGCAGGGUAUAGACCCGAAACCCGGUGAUCUAGCCAUGGGCAGGUUGAAGGUUGGGUAACACUAACUGGAGGACCGAACCGACUAAUGUUGAAAAAUUAGCGGAUGACUUGUGGCUGGGGGUGAAAGGCCAAUCAAACCGGGAGAUAGCUGGUUCUCCCCGAAAGCUAUUUAGGUAGCGCCUCGUGAAUUCAUCUCCGGGGGUAGAGCACUGUUUCGGCAAGGGGGUCAUCCCGACUUACCAACCCGAUGCAAACUGCGAAUACCGGAGAAUGUUAUCACGGGAGACACACGGCGGGUGCUAACGUCCGUCGUGAAGAGGGAAACAACCCAGACCGCCAGCUAAGGUCCCAAAGUCAUGGUUAAGUGGGAAACGAUGUGGGAAGGCCCAGACAGCCAGGAUGUUGGCUUAGAAGCAGCCAUCAUUUAAAGAAAGCGUAAUAGCUCACUGGUCGAGUCGGCCUGCGCGGAAGAUGUAACGGGGCUAAACCAUGCACCGAAGCUGCGGCAGCGACGCUGAUGCGUUGUUGGGUAGGGGAGCGUUCUGUAAGCCUGUGAAGGUGUGCUGUGAGGCAUGCUGGAGGUAUCAGAAGUGCGAAUGCUGACAUAAGUAACGAUAAAGCGGGUGAAAAGCCCGCUCGCCGGAAGACCAAGGGUUCCUGUCCAACGUUAAUCGGGGCAGGGUGAGUCGACCCCUAAGGCGAGGCCGAAAGGCGUAGUCGAUGGGAAACAGGUUAAUAUUCCUGUACUUGGUGUUACUGCGAAGGGGGGACGGAGAAGGCUAUGUUGGCCGGGCGACGGUUGUCCCGGUUUAAGCGUGUAGGCUGGUUUUCCAGGCAAAUCCGGAAAACUAAGGCUGAGGCGUGAUGACGAGGCACUACGGUGCUGAAGCAACAAAUGCCCUGCUUCCAGGAAAAGCCUCUAAGCAUCAGGUAACAUCAAAUCGUACCCCAAACCGACACAGGUGGUCAGGUAGAGAAUACCAAGGCGCUUGAGAGAACUCGGGUGAAGGAACUAGGCAAAAUGGUGCCGUAACUUCGGGAGAAGGCACGCUGAUAUGUAGGUGAAGUCCCUCGCGGAUGGAGCUGAAAUCAGUCGAAGAUACCAGCUGGCUGCAACUGUUUAUUAAAAACACAGCACUGUGCAAACACGAAAGUGGACGUAUACGGUGUGACGCCUGCCCGGUGCCGGAAGGUUAAUUGAUGGGGUCAGCGCAAGCGAAGCUCUUGAUCGAAGCCCCGGUAAACGGCGGCCGUAACUAUAACGGUCCUAAGGUAGCGAAAUUCCUUGUCGGGUAAGUUCCGACCUGCACGAAUGGCGUAAUGAUGGCCAGGCUGUCUCCACCCGAGACUCAGUGAAAUUGAACUCGCUGUGAAGAUGCAGUGUACCCGCGGCAAGACGGAAAGACCCCGUGAACCUUUACUAUAGCUUGACACUGAACAUUGAGCCUUGAUGUGUAGGAUAGGUGGGAGGCUUUGAAGUGUGGACGCCAGUCUGCAUGGAGCCGACCUUGAAAUACCACCCUUUAAUGUUUGAUGUUCUAACGUUGACCCGUAAUCCGGGUUGCGGACAGUGUCUGGUGGGUAGUUUGACUGGGGCGGUCUCCUCCUAAAGAGUAACGGAGGAGCACGAAGGUUGGCUAAUCCUGGUCGGACAUCAGGAGGUUAGUGCAAUGGCAUAAGCCAGCUUGACUGCGAGCGUGACGGCGCGAGCAGGUGCGAAAGCAGGUCAUAGUGAUCCGGUGGUUCUGAAUGGAAGGGCCAUCGCUCAACGGAUAAAAGGUACUCCGGGGAUAACAGGCUGAUACCGCCCAAGAGUUCAUAUCGACGGCGGUGUUUGGCACCUCGAUGUCGGCUCAUCACAUCCUGGGGCUGAAGUAGGUCCCAAGGGUAUGGCUGUUCGCCAUUUAAAGUGGUACGCGAGCUGGGUUUAGAACGUCGUGAGACAGUUCGGUCCCUAUCUGCCGUGGGCGCUGGAGAACUGAGGGGGGCUGCUCCUAGUACGAGAGGACCGGAGUGGACGCAUCACUGGUGUUCGGGUUGUCAUGCCAAUGGCACUGCCCGGUAGCUAAAUGCGGAAGAGAUAAGUGCUGAAAGCAUCUAAGCACGAAACUUGCCCCGAGAUGAGUUCUCCCUGACUCCUUGAGAGUCCUGAAGGAACGUUGAAGACGACGACGUUGAUAGGCCGGAUGUGUAAGCGCAGCGAUGCGUUGAGCUAACCGGUACUAAUGAACCGUGAGGCUUAACCUU